This 176-nucleotide ribosomal RNA is filed under the name uncultured bacterium. RNAcentral's name for it is "partial 16S ribosomal RNA". It matches the Rfam family "Bacterial small subunit ribosomal RNA", at positions 191 to 353 of the family's 1533-position model. The record is from RNAcentral.
AGUCGCAAGACCAAAGAGGGGGACCUUCGGGCCUCUUGCCAUCGGAUGUGCCCAGAUGGGAUUAGCUAGUAGGUGGGGUAAAGGCUCACCUAGGCGACGAUCCCUAGCUGGUCUGAGAGGAUGACCAGCCACACUGGAACUGAGACACGGUCCAGACUCCUACGGGAGGCAGCAUG